AUGCUGGAGGUAUCAGAAGUGCGAAUGCUGACAUAAGUAACGAUAAAGCGGGUGAAAAGCCCGCUCGCCGGAAGACCAAGGGUUCCUGUCCAACGUUAAUCGGGGCAGGGUGAGUCGACCCCUAAGGCGAGGCCGAAAGGCGUAGUCGAUGGGAAACAGGUUAAUAUUCCUGUACUUGGUGUUACUGCGAAGGGGGGACGGAGAAGGCUAUGUUGGCCGGGCGACGGUUGUCCCGGUUUAAGCGUGUAGGCUGAUUUUCCAGGCAAAUCCGGAAAAUCAAGGCUGAGGCGUGAUGACGAGGCACUACGGUGCUGAAGCAACAAAUGCCCUGCUUCCAGGAAAAGCCUCUAAGCAUCAGGUAACAUCAAAUCGUACCCCAAACCGACACAGGUGGUCAGGUAGAGAAUACCAAGGCGCUUGAGAGAACUCGGGUGAAGGAACUAGGCAAAAUGGUGCCGUAACUUCGGGAGAAGGCACGCUGAUAUGUAGGUGAAGCGACUUGCUCGUGGAGCUGAAAUCAGUCGAAGAUACCAGCUGGCU
Molecule: ribosomal RNA, 540 nt
Filed under: Escherichia coli
Lineage: Bacteria; Pseudomonadati; Pseudomonadota; Gammaproteobacteria; Enterobacterales; Enterobacteriaceae
Description: partial 23S ribosomal RNA
Rfam family: Bacterial large subunit ribosomal RNA
Source: RNAcentral